RNAcentral lists this ribosomal RNA (497 nucleotides) under uncultured bacterium. Its description in RNAcentral is "partial 16S ribosomal RNA". It matches the Rfam family "Bacterial small subunit ribosomal RNA", at positions 28 to 507 of the family's 1533-position model. The record is from RNAcentral.
GAUGAACGCUGGCGGCGUGCCUAAUACAUGCAAGUCGAGCGAACAGACGAGGAGCUUGCUCCUCUGACGUUAGCGGCGGACGGGUGAGUAACACGUGGAUAACCUACCUAUAAGACUGGGAUAACUUCGGGAAACCGGAGCUAAUACCGGAUAAUAUAUUGAACCGCAUGGUUCAAUAGUGAAAGACGGUUUUGCUGUCACUUAUAGAUGGAUCCGCGCCGCAUUAGCUAGUUGGUAAGGUAACGGCUUACCAAGGCGACGAUGCGUAGCCGACCUGAGAGGGGGAUCGGCCACAUUGGAACUGAGCCACGGUCCAGACUCCUACGGGAGGCAGCAGUAGGGAAUCGUCCGCAAUGGGCGAAAGCCUGACGGAGCAACGCCGCGUGAGUGAUGAAGGUCUUCGGAUCGUAAAACUCUGUUAUGAGGGAAGAACAAAUGUGUAAGUAACUAUGCACGUCUUGACGGUACCUAAUCAGAAAGCCACGGCUAACUACGUG